GAUGAACGCUAGCUACAGGCUUAACACAUGCAAGUCGAGGGGAAACGAUAUUGGAAGCUUGCUUCUGAUAGGCGUCGACCGGCGCACGGGUGAGUAACGCGUAUCCAACCUGCCCAUCACUUGGGGAUAACCUUGUGAAAGUAAGACUAAUACCCAAUGACGUCUCUAGAAGACAUCUGAAAGAGAUUAAAGAUUUAUCGGUGAUGGAUGGGGAUGCGUCUGAUUAGCUUGUUGGCGGGGUAACGGCCCACCAAGGCGACGAUCAGUAGGGGUUCUGAGAGGAAGGUCCCCCCACAUUGGAACUGAGACACGGUCCAAACUCCUACGGGAGGCAGCAGUGAGGAAUAUUGGUCAAUGGUCGGCAGACUGAACCAGCCAAGUCGCGUGAGGGAAGACGGCCCUACGGGUUGUAAACCUCUUUAUAAGGGAAUAAAGUGAGUCUCGUGAGACUUUUUGCAUGUACCUUAUGAAUAAGGACCGGCUAAUUCCGUG
This 492-nucleotide ribosomal RNA is filed under the name uncultured bacterium. Its description in RNAcentral is "bacterial SSU rRNA". It matches the Rfam family "Bacterial small subunit ribosomal RNA", at positions 28 to 507 of the family's 1533-position model. The record is from RNAcentral.